UGGGGAAUAUUGCACAAUGGGCGCAAGCCUGAUGCAGCCAUGCCGCGUGUGUGAAGAAGGCCUUCGGGUUGUAACGCACUUUCAGCGGGGAGGAAGGCGUUAAGGUUAAUAACCUUGGCGAUUGACGUUACCCGCAGAAGAAGCACCGGCUAACUCCGUGCCAGCAGCCGCGGUAAUUCGGAGGGUGCAAGCGUUAAUCGGAAUCACUGGGCGUAAAGCGCACGCAGGCGGUUUGUUAAGUCAGAUGUGAAAUCCCCGGGCUCAACCUGGGAGCUGCAUCGGAGACUGGCAAGCGUGAGUCGCGUAGAGGGGGGUAGAAUUCCAGGUGUCGCGGUGAAAUACGUAGAGAUCUGGAGGAAUACCGGGGGCGAAGGCGGCCCCCUGGACGAAGACUGACGCUCAGGUGCGAAAGCGUGGGGAGCAAACAGG
RNAcentral lists this ribosomal RNA (429 nucleotides) under Chloroflexota bacterium. Its description in RNAcentral is "Chloroflexi bacterium partial 16S ribosomal RNA". It matches the Rfam family "Bacterial small subunit ribosomal RNA", at positions 355 to 776 of the family's 1533-position model. Lineage: Bacteria; Bacillati; Chloroflexota. The record is from RNAcentral.